RNAcentral lists this unclassified non-coding RNA (206 nucleotides) under Hevea brasiliensis (rubber tree). Lineage: Eukaryota; Viridiplantae; Streptophyta; Magnoliopsida; Malpighiales; Euphorbiaceae. The record is from RNAcentral.
GCCUCAUAUAGGAACGCUUUAGGCUCUCUGAAAUUAGAUUCCUGUGGAGCAAGAUGGCUGCAAUCUUCCUAAAAAAAAUUAAGUUUUGGGAGAAAUGAGUGACAAAUGGUGGUUUAGUGAAGGCAUGGAAAAUAAGGUGAAUCGGCACAGCCUUCUUCCUCCGCCUAGUCGCUACAGUGACUGCUGUCAAGUUUGCCACAGGAGGA